Molecule: long non-coding RNA, 610 nt
Organism: Cervus elaphus (red deer)
Lineage: Eukaryota; Metazoa; Chordata; Mammalia; Artiodactyla; Cervidae
Exons: 5
Source: RefSeq, a predicted model, not a curated record
GAGCUCUGCUGUGUUCUAACCCUGACCGCGUCUCGGAACAGGACCCAGAGGGCGGGUUCACCGUCCUCGUCCCCAGGGAUGGGGUGUGCGGGGGCCUCAUUCUCCCCUGGCCAGGCCGCCGAGUGACAGUCGUGUUGGCCGUCGUUGCUCUGAGCUGCUCCGGGCAGCAGGGAACCAGACACCGCAGCUUAGAAAGAUGAGGAAACUGAGCCUUAGAGAGAUCAAGUUAUUUGCUACGCUCACCUGUUGUUUCCUUGAGACUACAAGGAAGAUGAGAGAAGCUGCCUAUUGUAUUAAGGUGUCCAGUGGCCUUGAUCAAACAAGAUGGGAAAAUGAGAGCAAACACAUCAUAAUACAUGAGGCAACACAGCUUGUCUGGGGCCUGCUUGCAGACUUCAGUCACUUCUGGCUACACCUAUGGCAGGACUGAUGUGUGCACUGUCUCAUGCUAUUAAAGAAGGGGGCAAACUGAGAAAACUCAAAAAUCCCCCGGCUGGACAUCUUCCUCAGCUUCCUUGGGAUACAUUCCUGGAGGACCAGCUGUGUGCCUGUGUUUUCCUGAUGAGAUACGGGUGAUAUUUGCUGUCGUGGUUCAGAAGGCUGAGCGCUG